GGUUAUAUCAUUUAAAAAAAUUAAACAUGUUUUGUUACAUAAUUAUAUAUUAAUUGCUAUAUAUAAUAUAUAAUAGAUCGAUACAAAUAUUUUGUUACACAUAGAAAUCAUGACUUCUUCUGCUAAUAAAUUCUUCACCAUCUUUAUGUUCCUAUCUCUUGUCAUCAUUCUCCUUAUUUCCACAAGUGAGCCGCAUGGAAUGUUUAGACGUCGUUGUAGAGAGAGAAGUCAAACAUCGAAAAAAGGGCCUUGUAACGACUCAGAAUGUAAUUCAGGGUGCGUAAAGUUGGAGAAUGCAAGGUUUGGUGCUUGUCAAUUUCCUAGUUGUCCUGGACCUUUUGGUGUUUGUCAAAUCUUGUAUUGUUACUGCUACUUCAAUCGCAGCGAAUCUACGCACCCACAUUAUUUUAAACAUGUUUUACACUUCGAUAAGAACCUACAAAGAGGUUAAUAAAAUUGUUGUUGGUUUAGCUAAUCUUGAUUGUAAGGUAGUAAAUGAGAUUCAAGUGUAUACUAUUUUAUUAAGAAGGUUUAAGUAAAUGUAUGUUAUUUAUUA
Molecule: long non-coding RNA, 556 nt
Organism: Trifolium pratense (red clover)
Lineage: Eukaryota; Viridiplantae; Streptophyta; Magnoliopsida; Fabales; Fabaceae
Exons: 2
Source: RefSeq, a predicted model, not a curated record